Molecule: ribosomal RNA, 520 nt
Filed under: uncultured Glomus
Lineage: Eukaryota; Fungi; Glomeromycota; Glomeromycetes; Glomerales; Glomeraceae
Description: SSU rRNA
Rfam family: Eukaryotic small subunit ribosomal RNA
Source: RNAcentral
AGCAGCCGCGGUAAUUCCAGCUCCAAUAGCGUAUAUUAAAGUUGUUGCAGUUAAAAAGCUCGUAGUUGAAUUUCGGGAUCAGAUUGUCGGUCGUGCCUCGGUACGCACUGGCAUUAUUGGUUCCUACCUUCUGAAGAACCGCGAUGUCAUUAAUUUGGUGUCGCGGGGAAUCAGGACUGUUACUUUGAAAAAAUUAGAGUGUUUAAAGCAGGCUUACGCUUGAAUACAUUAGCAUGGAAUAAUGAAAUAGGACGUUUGAUUCUAUUUUGUUGGUUUCUAGGAUCGACGUAAUGAUUAAUAGGGAUAGUUGGGGGCAUUAGUAUUCAAUUGUCAGAGGUGAAAUUCUUGGAUUUAUUGAAGACUAACUACUGCGAAAGCAUUUGCCAAGGAUGUUUUCAUUAAUCAAGAACGAAAGUUAGGGGAUCGAAGACGAUCAGAUACCGUCGUAGUCUUAACCAUAAACUAUGCCGACUAGGGAUCGGAUGAUGUUAAUUUUAUAAUGACUCGUUCGGCACCUUAA